RNAcentral lists this ribosomal RNA (253 nucleotides) under uncultured bacterium. RNAcentral's name for it is "partial 16S ribosomal RNA". It matches the Rfam family "Bacterial small subunit ribosomal RNA", at positions 524 to 776 of the family's 1533-position model. The record is from RNAcentral.
UACGUAGGCAGCAAGCGUUGUUCGGAGUUAUUGGGCGUAAAGCGCGCGCAGGCGGUCCUUUAAGUCUGAUGUGAAAGCCCACGGCUCAACCGUGGAGGGUCAUUGGAAACUGGGGGACUUGAGUACAGAAGAGAAGAGUGGAAUUCCACGUGUAGCGGUGAAAUGCGUAGAGAUGUGGAGGAACACCAGUGGCGAAGGCGACUCUUUGGUCUGUAACUGACGCUGAGGCGCGAAAGCGUGGGGAGCAAACAGG